Molecule: ribosomal RNA, 483 nt
Filed under: uncultured bacterium
Lineage: Bacteria
Description: partial 16S ribosomal RNA
Rfam family: Bacterial small subunit ribosomal RNA
Source: RNAcentral
GACGAACGCUGGCGGCGUGCCUAACACAUGCAAGUCGAGCGGGGAUUUAAGUGGAAGUUCUUCGGAAUGGAGAUUUAAAUUCUAGCGGCGGACGGGUGAGUAACGCGUGAACAAUCUGUCCCGGACAGGGGGAUAACACUUGGAAACAGGUGCUAAUACCGCAUAAGACCACGGCCUCGCAUGGGGCUGAGGUAAAAGGAGCAAUCCGGUUCGGGGUGAGUUCGCGUCCGAUUAGCUAGUUGGUGAGGUAACGGCCCACCAAGGCGACGAUCGGUAGCCGGCCUGAGAGGGUGAACGGCCACAUUGGAACUGAGAGACGGUCCAAACUCCUACGGGAGGCAGCAGGGGGGAAUAGUGGGCAAUGGGCGAAAGCCUGACCCAGCAACGCCGCGUGGGGGAAGAAGGUUUUCGGAGUGUAAACCUCUGUCCUAUGGGACGAAGGAAGUGACGGUACCAUAGGAGGAAGCCCCGGCUAACUACGUG